ACUAAAUAGAUACCCGGGUAGUCCACGCCCUAAACGAUGCAUAUUUGGUGUGGGCAGUUCAUUCUGUCCGUGCCGGAGCUAAACGCGUUAAAUAUGCCGCCUGGGGAGUACAGUCGCAAGGCUGAAACUCAAAGGAAUUGACGGGGGCCCGCACAAGCGGUGGAGCAUGUGGUUCAAUUCGACGCAACGCGAAGAACCUUACCUGGGCUCGAACGGCUGGUCAACGGAGGUGGAAACAUCUCUACCCCGCAAGGGGGUCCAGUCGAGGUGCUGCAUGGCUGUCGUCAGCUCGUGUCGUGAGAUGUUGGGUUAAGUCCCGCAACGAGCGCAACCCUUGUCCUGUGUUGCCAUCAUUCAGUUGGGAACUCGCAGGAGACCGCCAGCGAUAAGCUGGAGGAAGGUGGGGAUGACGUCAAGUCCUCAUGGCCUUUAUGUCCAGGGCUACACACGUGCUACAAUGGGCGGUACAAAGCGCCGCGAACCCGCGAGGGGAGCCAAUCGCAAAAAACCGACUCUCAGUUCGGAUUGCAGG
This 532-nucleotide ribosomal RNA is filed under the name uncultured bacterium. RNAcentral's name for it is "bacterial SSU rRNA". It matches the Rfam family "Bacterial small subunit ribosomal RNA", at positions 772 to 1304 of the family's 1533-position model. The record is from RNAcentral.